UACGAAGGGGGCUAGCGUUGUUCGGAAUCACUGGGCGUAAAGGGCGCGUAGGCGGCUGUUCAAGUCGGGGGUGAAAGCCUGUGGCUCAACCACAGAAUGGCCUUCGAUACUGGACGGCUGGAGACCGGAAGAGGUGAGUGGAACUGCGAGUGUAGAGGUGAAAUUCGUAGAUAUUCGCAAGAACACCAGUGGCGAAGGCGGCUCACUGGUCCGGUUCUGACGCUGAGGCGCGAAAGCGUGGGGAGCAAACAGG
This 253-nucleotide ribosomal RNA is filed under the name uncultured bacterium. RNAcentral describes it as "partial 16S ribosomal RNA". It matches the Rfam family "Bacterial small subunit ribosomal RNA", at positions 524 to 776 of the family's 1533-position model. The record is from RNAcentral.